This 1370-nucleotide ribosomal RNA is filed under the name Clostridioides difficile. Its description in RNAcentral is "partial 23S ribosomal RNA". It matches the Rfam family "Bacterial large subunit ribosomal RNA", at positions 1325 to 2703 of the family's 2925-position model. Lineage: Bacteria; Bacillati; Bacillota; Clostridia; Peptostreptococcales; Peptostreptococcaceae. The record is from RNAcentral.
GAAUCCCACAGGCCGUAAACCCAAGGUUUCCAGGGGAAGGUUCGUCCGCCCUGGGUUAGUCGGGACCUAAGCUGAGGCCGAAAGGCGUAGGUGAUGGACAACAGGUUGAUAUUCCUGUACUACCGAUAACCGUUUGAGAGAAGGGAUGACACAGUAGGAUAAGCUAAGCACACUGUUGGUUAUGUGUGCCCAAGCAUUGAGGCAGUCAAAGUAGGCAAAUCCGCUUUGAUAAUGCUGGGAUGUGAUGGGGAGCGAAAUUUAGUAGCGAAGUAGCUGAUUUCACACUGUCAAGAAAAGUCUCUAUCGAGGUUAAAGGUACCCGUACCGCAAACCGACACAGGUGGGUGAGGAGAGUAUCCUAAGGCCAGCGAGAGAACUGUUGUUAAGGAACUCGGCAAAAUGACCCCGUAACUUAGGGAUAAGGGGUGCCACCAUCAGGUGGCCGCAGAGAAUAGGCCCAAGCGACUGUUUACCAAAAACAUAGGUUUCUGCUAAGUCGCAAGACGAUGUAUAGGAGCUGACGCCUGCCCGGUGCUGGAAGGUUAAGGGGAUCUGUUAGAGCAAUCGAAGCAGUGAACUUAAGCCCCAGUAAACGGCGGCCGUAACUAUAACGGUCCUAAGGUAGCGAAAUUCCUUGUCGGGUAAGUUCCGACCCGCACGAAAGGCGUAACGAUUUGGGCACUGUCUCAACAACAGACUCGGUGAAAUUGUAAUUCCGGUGAAGAUGCCGGAUACCUGCGACAGGACGGAAAGACCCCAUGGAGCUUUACUGUAGCUUGACAUUGGGUCUUGGUACUACAUGUACAGGAUAGGUGGGAGGCUUUGAAACCAGGACGCCAGUUUUGGCGGAGCCAUCCUUGGGAUACCACCCUUGUAGUACUGGGACUCUAACCAUAGGCCAUGAAUCUGGUCUUGGGACACUGUCAGGUGGGCAGUUUGACUGGGGCGGUCGCCUCCCAAAAGGUAACGGAGGCGCUCAAAGGUUCUCUCAGUACGGUCGGAAAUCGUACGUAGAGUGUAAAGGCAAAAGAGAGCUUGAUUGCAAGACAUACAGGUCGAGCAAGGAUGAAAAUCGGACUUAGUGAUCCGGUGGUUCUGCGUGGAAGGGCCAUCGCUCAACGGAUAAAAGCUACCCUGGGGAUAACAGGCUUAUCUCCCCCAAGAGUCCACAUCGACGGGGAGGUUUGGCACCUCGAUGUCGGCUCAUCACAUCCUGGGGCUGUAGUAGGUCCCAAGGGUUGGGCUGUUCGCCCAUUAAAGUGGUACGCGAGCUGGGUUCAGAACGUCGUGAGACAGUUCGGUCCCUAUCCGUCGCAGGCGUAGGAAAUUUGAGAAGACCUGUCCUUAGUACGAGAGGACCGGGAUGGACG